CCUACGGGAGGCUGCAGUGGGGAAUAUUGGACAAUGGGGGCAACCCUGAUCCAGCCAUGCCGCGUGUGUGAAGAAGGCCCUCGGGUUGUAAAGCACUUUCAGUGAGGAAGAACGCCUGGUGGUUAAUACCCAUCAGGAAAGACAUCACUCACAGAAGAAGCACCGUCUAACUCCGUGCCAGCAGCCGCGGUAAUACGGAGGGUGCGAGCGUUAAUCGGAAUUACUGGGCGUAAAGCGCGCGUAGGUGGCUUGAUAAGCCGGUUGUGAAAGCCCCGGGCUCAACCUGGGAACGGCAUCCGGAACUGUCAAGCUAGAGUGCAGGAGAGGAAGGUAGAAUUCCCGGUGUAGCGGUGAAAUGCGUAGAGAUCGGGAGGAAUACCAGUGGCGAAGGCGGCCUUCUGGACUGACACUGACACUGAGGUGCGAAAGCGUGGGUAGCAAACAGGAUUAGAUACCCUAGUAGUC
RNAcentral lists this ribosomal RNA (465 nucleotides) under Vreelandella stevensii. Its description in RNAcentral is "partial 16S ribosomal RNA". It matches the Rfam family "Bacterial small subunit ribosomal RNA", at positions 338 to 795 of the family's 1533-position model. The record is from RNAcentral. Lineage: Bacteria; Pseudomonadati; Pseudomonadota; Gammaproteobacteria; Oceanospirillales; Halomonadaceae.